Molecule: long non-coding RNA, 399 nt
Filed under: Lepisosteus oculatus (spotted gar)
Lineage: Eukaryota; Metazoa; Chordata; Actinopteri; Semionotiformes; Lepisosteidae
Description: lncRNA (ENSLOCG00000023297.1)
Source: RNAcentral
AUGACCCCCAAGGACCCCCACGGCAAGACCCAAGAGCCCGGGACUGCGGGAGGCCUGACCAUGGCUCGGGAAUCUGGAGAUCCAGCUCCUGAAGCUCUUUCCCAGCUCUUCUCCUCUCUGCACCUCUGUCCCUCUUCCCCUGUACCACAGGACAGCAGAAGGAGACGGUUUUUAAUGAGGACUGCUCGGUCCCUGAUCGCCUGCCGGCACCUGCUCUCGUCUCACCUGUCUGGUUCUCUGGAGACGGGGAGUGCGUCCACACUGCCUGUCCACAUUACUGCCUUCUGCCUGCACUGCUGGAACUGUGCUUGAAUUUGUUAAGACACCUCCUUCUGCAUUUAUGUGUUUAUUAUAACCGUGUUUUGGUCUGAUUCACAUGUCCUACAUUCUAAAAAUGCU